AGCGCAGCCAGCUCAGCGGAGCGAUGGUUGGAGGCGCCUUCCCGGGUGGCCAGCCCGUCAUUUCGCGGAGACGUGUCCCUUUGUGGAGGCCAGGCGUCUGGGGUUCCUCAGGAACCGAGGCCGCAAGUGCCAGUUUUGGACUCUUGUGUCAGCUGCUGUGCUGUGUGGGGCCCAAGGGUGACCGGCAGAGGUCCUGUGAGGGGUGAGCACUGACCAAGGGGCCUAUGUUGGGGUGGGGACCGGGUGGCCGUCUGGAUUUCAUUCUACUGUGGAGGGAGGAAGUGCUCCUGAGAUAGGACUGUGACUUGGCGGACACUGGAGGUCUGUACGGUGGCCCUGGGGAGCAGAGCAGCCAGCAGUCACUGGCAUGGGCAGGACAGGAGCUAGCCCACUGUCGCUUGUACUGUUGAAGCAGUGUGUAGUCCUUUGAGAGCCCUGUACUCCAGGAGGACAGAGGCUGGGGUACAGCUACAGCCCACUUCCUGCUCACCCUGCCCUGGGCUGGUAGAACCCCAGCUGCCUCCCCCAGGCAUCAGCCCCAGGCCGGGCACUGUGUUAGGCUGCUGCACCACUGGUGCCUGCAGAGGCUGUGGCUAGGUUAACGGUCAAGUCUGCCCUCCCACUGAAGACCCUUCAGGUGGCCAGCCCCCAGCCAGUACUAUGAACACAUUGGCAUGCCUCAGUACAAGGCAGGUGCUCCAGUGUCUGCCAGCCAACUGCCAGGUCCCCCACCCCUUGCUGGCCACAGUGCCCUCCAUGGACCAGAAAAUUCCUGUGCUGAGUGAGCUGUUGCCCCUCCUGAGGCCCAGUGUCCAGCAACUGCUGUUGCUGUUGCCCAGCAAGGAUGGUGCAGAGGGCGUGGUCCAGGGGCUUUCCCUGAGGCCCAGGCUGUGCAGAGAUAGACCUACUGGGGGUUCUGAGACUGAGUGGUGGGCUGGGUGUAGGCAGGAUCCUCUGAGGAGGUUGCAGGUUGGGGUUUUGAUGUUAGCAGCUUAAUGUCAGAGCAGUGAUGCGGUUUCUGCCUCAAGGUGAGUUCUGGGAGGGCUGGGUCUCUGUGCUCACCCACCUCCAAGCUCCUGCCCCACAGGAGGGGACUUCCACGUGCUCAGCACGCUGGGGUUCCAGGGUGUCAAGAUGGGGCAGAUGGGACUGCACUGUGGCUGGGACCAGCACCCACCUGGCCAGAGGUUUGAAUGGACGUGUGUGGACCUCUCUUACUGAAGGGGGUCCCUGGAGGGGACCCGCUCUUUGUCAGCAAGGACAACUGGGAUGGGGGCUGAGUGCUUGCCCAUGCACAUCUGGAUGACCUCUCGGUAGCUGUUCGGUGCCAGCUGCUCUGUGCUGUGCACCUGUGCCUCAGCAGCCUGGGCAUCGCUGGCCCGAGGCCCAUGUCUAUCUAACACCUGGCCACCCUGCAGCUGCCCUGCCUGCACUGCCCCAGGCAGCUCUCUGGAGAGUGAGGACAGAUGCCUCUACUUCCCAGCUCAGGUGGGGUGCUUCCAGGGAGGUUCUCGGUGCGCUUGGAGCCUCUGAGCCAGCUGCUCAGGUGAACCGCCCCUCCACCUUAAGGCCACCCUUGCCAGCACCUGGGAAAGCUUGGCAUUGGCUUUUCUGACUGAGGCACCCCCAAGCUCCCCACCUCCAGAAGCGGAACCUGCUGGCACCCUCCCAGGGCCUUUUGCAGGAGCUGACCAAGCCGGAGGUGCUGAGCACCCAGCUACUGACCAUGCUGCCCGGCCUAACCUGCUGCACCAGCCUCCAUCACCUUGACCUCUAUGGCAAUCACCUGUCCAUGGUGGCCCUCCCAGAGCUGCUGCCCGACUUGGAGCCCAGGUGGAACUGCCCAUUGUGGUGCCUCUCCCGCCCACCCAUGGACUGCUAUGGAGAACUGGGUCUGCCCUAGCCCCCCUCUACCUGCGGGAGUGAAUGGAUGUCUGGCUCUACCAGAUGCUUGGAGCAUCGGGCCAGGAUCAGGCACAGCCUCCUCCAUCUGCAUCUAGCUAAAGAUUCUUUCAGCCUGUAGUCUCCCACUCAGAAGUUUCUGCGCCAGCUCCCUGCAGCCCUCUGUGAAGAAGGAUGCUGCUCUCAGACUGCAGCUAACCCUGACCACCUGGUGGCCUAAGGCCUGUGGCAGCCUGGCCUGUGGUUUUCCCUCAAGAGCUAUUCCUCAGAUCCCACCUGUAAGCUCUCUAGACUGGCUUCUCUCAGUCUUUCCCAAAGGCGAGGUGCCCUGCUCCAGGCCCCCAACCUGACACCUGGAGAUGUCAUUGCCCUGGUCUGAGUGGCUGUGCUCGGGCUGGGGGCAGGUGUUAAGUCAGCCCAAACAUGCAGCCUGUUUGGAACUAGA
Echinops telfairi (small Madagascar hedgehog) is the source of this 2347-nucleotide long non-coding RNA. RefSeq lists it as uncharacterized. The record is from RefSeq and is a predicted model, not a curated record. Lineage: Eukaryota; Metazoa; Chordata; Mammalia; Afrosoricida; Tenrecidae. The transcript has 2 exons.